Molecule: ribosomal RNA, 755 nt
Filed under: uncultured prokaryote
Description: bacterial SSU rRNA
Rfam family: Bacterial small subunit ribosomal RNA
Source: RNAcentral
GAUGAACGCUGACAGAAUGCUUAACACAUGCAAGUCGAUUCGAUUUACCUUCGGGUAUUGAGGAUGGCGGACGGGUGAGUAACGCGUAAGGAACUUGCCUCUUGGUCUGGGACAACUGUUGGAAACGACAGCUAAUACCGGAUAUUAUGAGAUUCUCGCAUGGGAAACUUAUGAAAGCUAUAUGCGCCAAGAGAGAGCCUUGCGUUCCAUUAGCUAGUUGGUGGGGUAACGGCCCACCAAGGCGACGAUGGAUAGCCGGCCUGAGAGGGUGAACGGCCACAAGGGGACUGAGACACGGCCCUUACUCCUACGGGAGGCAGCAGUGGGGAAUAUUGGACAAUGGACCAAAAGUCUGAUCCAGCAAUUCUGUGUGCACGAUGAAGGUCUUCGGAUUGUAAAGUGCUUUCAGUUGGGAAGAAGAAAGUGACGGUACCAACAGAAGAAGCGACGGCUAAAUACGUGCCAGCAGCCGCGGUAAUACGUAUGUCGCAAGCGUUAUCCGGAUUUAUUGGGCGUAAAGCGCGUCUAGGCGGAAAAAUAAGUCUGAUGUUAAAAUGCGGGGCUCAACUCCGUAUUGCGUUGGAAACUGUUUUUCUAGAGUACUGGAGAGGUGGGCGGAACUACAAGUGUAGAGGUGAAAUUCGUAGAUAUUUGUAGGAAUGCCGAUGGAGAAGUCAGCUCACUGGACAGANACUGACGCUAAAGCGCGAAAGCGUGGGGAGCAAACAGGANUAGAUACCCUGGUAGUCCACGCC